UCUGGGAUGACUUUCAUGUACAUAAAGUUCCUCCUCCAAUACAAAGGGCACUCGACAAAUCAAAGAGGAACUUUUGAUGUCUAGUCAACAAGUAGGUUGUGACGGAUGAAAAAGCAGGAAUGGAGUAAAGGGAGAAUUCAGGGGAAGAGGUAGCUCCAGAUACUCUACUUAGACAAGCUCUUCCAUUGGGGGCCAAGUGGAGGCCCGGAGAUGGACACAGACAGCGUGGCCCCUCUUCCGUGUCUUUACAGCUGUACUGGCGGUUGGUCAUGGCACACGUCCUAGAGUCUGUGAAAAGAGGCACAGGCGAGCCUUUUCCCCAGGAGACGAUAAACAAUGCUCACUAAAGAACGAUCCCUGAGACAUGAAAUGUAACACGUGGAAUGGUAUCAGAGGAUAAGCUUCAUCAUCUGAGUCCCAGACGGAGAUCCAAAUGGAAUCUGUGCAGGGGUGGUGUCUUGUUGGCCCCCUGGUUGAUUCUGUUGGCCAAUGCAUUGCACUUGACUGUCUAGGCAGAGCAUGCACCCCUCAGUCACCAAAGACGGCAUCUCUCUGUUUUCCUAUACAAGAUCCUUUACAUAACCUGGCUGGUCUCUACUAUUGGCUGAAAUGCAACCUCUGAUAGAGAUGAUUCAUUUGAAUAAAUAAGGUAAAAAAAUGCCAAUUCUACCCAUCUCUCCAUUCAUAUCUAACCUCCUUGAGAGUCACUCAAAUCACUAAACCUUGUCUUUUAGGUGCAUGUAUUAAAACACGCAGCAUAUAAGGCUGAUCAGCUACCCAAAAGCCAUUCCCAUUACUGAGGCUGAAAAGCCAGUUACACAUCUUUUUCCUAGCUUCCUGUGCAGCAACAAGGGAGUGGCCAUAUGAUUCAGUUAUAGCCAAAGAGAUAUUAAGAUAAGUCUGCUGGAGUUUCUGGAAAAGAUCCUGCUGCAUGACAAAACAGAUGGACACAAAAGAGGCGUUUGUUUCCUGGCAUCGCUCCUUUUCCCUUUGUCUUGCCUACCUUUGAUGUGUGUGUGAUAUCUGGAGCUAGGGCAGCCAUAUUGUGACCACAAGGCCACAAGCAUGAGGAUGAAAUCAAUACCCUGAAGAUGGCAGAGGUGGAGUCCUUGCUGACCUGUUCUGGAACUGCUUGCCUCCAGCUUUUAAAAGUAAAGAGAAUUUAGUUCGACUUUUCUGUCACUCAUUGCUAAAUAGACCGUGUCUCACAGAAACACAUAUCCUGAGUAGGGUUCCAGUAUAUAUGGAUCAAAAGUGCCUAUAACAGGGGAGCACUGUGAAUAUCCUCUCUUUAUACACCCGCAUCUAUAACAUGCCAGUCAACCAGCUGGACGAAAGAGAUUGCAAAGGGCUGUGUAAGUAAAAUCAGCAUCCGAGAGAGACAUUCAGGGCCACCUGGCCACUGGAAGCUAUAAACAGGGAGGCAGAGGCAACCCUCACAUGUAUAGUAAUAGACAAAGAGGGCACCAGGACAGACACCCAGGCCACAGUAAUGUAGCAAACACUGACCAAUGAUUAUAUUUCUAGUUUAUUCCUUUUCUCUUUAGUUGUCUCCUUUCAAAAUUAAUCUUCAAAAUUUACCUCAUUUCAUUCUUCCAUUUGGAGAAAGAUAUCUUUUUUGGCACUAAAAA
Molecule: long non-coding RNA, 1631 nt
Organism: Bos taurus (domestic cattle)
Lineage: Eukaryota; Metazoa; Chordata; Mammalia; Artiodactyla; Bovidae
Source: Ensembl